CAGAAUUUCAGAGGAGCAGAACUUUGCUAAGUUAGUGGGGGUCAGGGGAAGUUUCACACAGCUUAAUUAAAACAAAAUAUCACAGGUGCAGUCUUCUGUUUACAAGGCAAUAAAGAUAACAUCAUUGCAAACUCACAUGGGAUGCAGCAGUCAGUCAUGCAUUAACUGAGGGGACUCCUAAGGGAGAAGGGGAAGGCAACCAUCUGGACUUUACACAAAUGGAGUCAGGUUGGCUAUCACAUUCCCAACUCCUCUAAGUAUGAUGUCAAAGCACUGACUUAUCUUGAGCCUCCUGAGUGGGUAGGGAAUUAUAGUAGGUUCUCAUGUACAACAGUUUCACAGAGGCUGCACACUGUGUUUAACAGAGGCUAUACACUGUUUUACAAAGUUAAUUAUCUAAUUAAGAACACAAGGCCCAGUCAGGAGCCCGAGGAAAAUGAGGAUGAGGACAACAGUGUAUGGUCCCUUCCAGAGCAGGGUGAGUCUCUUUCUGGAAAUCCUUGAUGAGUAUGGUGUCUCCCAGCUGGAAUGAAGGUCAGGGGACAGAGCCGGGUAAGGGUAAGGCACAGUGUACACUGGCAUGGACAGAAGCCUGUACCUGUUCAAGGGACUGAAGGUACUUUAACAGAGACUGGUUAGAAGAUUCCUCUAGCUUCUCAGUUUUUUACUUUGGGGAGCAGGGAAGGAGGCCUUUUAAACAUAAGAAGUAAAGCCCACUUUAUAAAGGGUGCAUCUCACUCGAAGGAUGGCCAGGGGCAGCAGGUUGACCCACCCUUCACCGGUUUCUAAAAUCAAUUUGGUCAAAGUAGAUCUUAGGGUUCGAUUCAUUCGUUCCAUUUGCUGUGAGCUUUGAGGUUGGUAGGCACAGUGGAGUUUCCAAUUUAUACCCAGUGCCCUAUUGACUGACUUAUAGAGGCUAUGAAGGCAGGGCCAUUGUCACAUCCAAUGGACACCGGUAUCCCAAACCUGGGGAUCAAUUCCUGGAGCAGCUUUUUCCACCAGAGUGGCAGUUUUCUGCUGAGCAGCAUAGAUUUCCACCCAACCUGAGACAGUAUCAAUGAAUACCAGAAGAUAUCAAUAGUCGCCAGCCUGCAGCUUGAUCUCUGUGAAGUCCACUUUCCAAUGUUAGCCCCGGACUCAUUCUCCUGAAUUGAAUUCCAAGGGGUGCAGAUGGGCACUGGUGAGGAUUUACUUACACACAGGCUGGCCACCAAGGAGAGGCCUGGAGAGCCUAGAAGCUAGAGAGCUAGAGAGCCUGGCACUAGAAGCUCAUCUAUCUUGGAGCCCCCAAGGUGCAUGACUAAAUGUAGCUGCUGAAUGAGUUGUCUCCCUUGUGCCUGAGGGAGGUAGAUAUGGCCAUCUGGACAUUUCCACCAGCCUUGGGGGUCCUUUUUUGCUUGCAACUGGUUUGAUUAUUUGUCUUCCUCUUUAUUGUAAAUGGGACUAGCCAGGAGCAGAGGGGGAGGUAGACUUAUAGCAGGCAGAAUGAUUAAAGGCUUAAAUGGUCUUAGGUCUGCCUCCCUGGUGGCUCAGUCUGCGGGCUGGUUUCCUUUUGUUUCUGGAGUAUUG
Molecule: long non-coding RNA, 1569 nt
Organism: Heterocephalus glaber (naked mole-rat)
Lineage: Eukaryota; Metazoa; Chordata; Mammalia; Rodentia; Bathyergidae
Source: Ensembl